GACGAACGCUGGCGGCGUGCUUAACACAUGCAAGUCGAACGCUGAAGCUCAGCUUUUGUUGGGUGGAUGAGUGGCGAACGGGUGAGUAACACGUGAGUAACCUGCCCCCUUCUUUGGGAUAACGCCCGGAAACGGGUGCUAAUACUGGAUAUUCACUGGUCUUCGCAUGGGGGUUGGUGGAAAGGGUUUUUCUGGUGGGGGAUGGGCUCGCGGCCUAUCAGCUUGUUGGUGGGGUGAUGGCCUACCAAGGCUUUGACGGGUAGCCGGCCUGAGAGGGUGACCGGUCACAUUGGGACUGAGAUACGGCCCAGACUCCUACGGGAGGCAGCAGUGGGGAAUAUUGCACAAUAGGCGAAAGCCUGAUGCAGCGACGCAGCGUGAGGGAUGGAGGCCUUCGGGUUGUGAACCUCUUUCGCUCAUGGUCAAGCCGCAACAAUGGUUGUGGUGAGGGUAGUGGGUAAAGAAACGCCGGCUAACUACGUG
Molecule: ribosomal RNA, 483 nt
Filed under: uncultured bacterium
Lineage: Bacteria
Description: partial 16S ribosomal RNA
Rfam family: Bacterial small subunit ribosomal RNA
Source: RNAcentral